UUGUCUUGAGUCCGGGAAGCUGUGAUGGUCAGGCUUGAAAGGGGGCGUUCCACUCACCAGUCAUUCUCCCCUUGCUGCCUCCCUUCAAAGGGACCGAACAAGACAAAUGGGGCCACCUCUCCCUGCCUCCCACAAAUGGAAACUGAGCCAUUUUAAACUGAUGAAAAAAUUGAAGUCUUAAAAUUAUUCAGUUUUAUAAAGCACAUUGGUACACCCUCUUCAGUACCUUUGGAUAUCUUUUAUCCUCUCAUCAUCAAAAAAGCCUCCUGCGUGUCGAUCUCUUCGGCUUGUUAUCAUUCCAUCCUCUC
Manis pentadactyla (Chinese pangolin) is the source of this 308-nucleotide long non-coding RNA. RefSeq lists it as uncharacterized. NCBI's taxonomy places the organism in Eukaryota, Metazoa, Chordata, Mammalia, Pholidota, Manidae. The transcript is spliced from 3 exons. The record is from RefSeq and is a predicted model, not a curated record.